RNAcentral lists this long non-coding RNA (373 nucleotides) under Manihot esculenta (cassava). Its description in RNAcentral is "long non-coding RNA (MESC_LNC001627)". The record is from RNAcentral. Lineage: Eukaryota; Viridiplantae; Streptophyta; Magnoliopsida; Malpighiales; Euphorbiaceae.
GAUACGGAUCCGAUAGGACAAAUUUCUAACAAUGGUGUGGAGCAAACUUAUAUCAUUCCAAUGGAUCUAAGAGUAGUUCAAAAUCAUAUUCAUAUAAUCCAUAUAUAUUUGGGGCGUGCUUUAACUCAUAUGGGACAGAUUUGGUGCAACAUUUGCAAUCAUAGGCUGAGGGAGCCUAAUCAAACCUAUAGGCUAAAACUACAUAAAGGAAAGCCUAAAGUGAAGAUCAAGUAAGGCUUUUGUGAAGAUUCAACUUUGUUAUGAUAGGCUUGCUAGUUUUAUUAUUUAAACACUUGUUUUAUUUUAGUUUUGUUUGGGCUUGUAUUCUGGCCAUAUUUUAUCUUUUAAGUUUUAGAGUGUUGGGCCAUGUUGU